AUGUUGCUAUGUCAAAUGUUCUCGGAACUCACAGAUCCAACUAAGUCAUGAAGCCCUAGGAAACGGGGACUGUAGUCUCUCAGGAUGAUGUACUGGCCUAAGCAGAACAAGUUUCUUUUGACACUGCUUCUUGUUCACACCUUUCCCGUGCCCUGUUUUCUUUAGACGCUGACUCCUGCUGUCUACCAGAUCCUCGUGGUACAAUGACUGGUGUAGACUGGCUUGUUGAAGUCACUCUCUGGAUCUGAGCAACGCUGGCUGAGCCGUGAUGAAGUAUUCCUAUCCAUCCACUAUGCUUCACAGUGGGAAUCUCUCACUGUUCAUCACCGCUGCCCUAGCAGCCGCAGGGAUUCUUCACCCAUGGUUGCUUAGGUUUAUAAGCAAGGAAGCUGAAUGAAGUCCCUUUCCUCUCUGGAUGAGCCCCUGGGUUUCUGGAAGAGUCUUAAAAUCACCCCUAAAUGGCUUCCAAGCACUGAAGCCCGAGAUGUUAGCUGGCCUGUGUGAGGCCUUGAGACAGAAUGCCACAGCCACACCCCAAGGAUGCUGAAGGGGAUUUCCCUCCUCUGUGGUUUUUCUCCUUUCUUCCCGCAGCACUCCUCCUACGUGCUAACAUCUUCUAGUCAAACAACUCUCCUUUUCAAAGGGACCAGGCACAGUUUCUGCUUAUCCCUGAGUAGCAGUGUUCAGUUUCCUGCCAGCCUGUGGAGUUUUUCAAACAAGCCAAUCACCUCCUCCUGUGGGAACUGAGAAGCACCCCACCCUCUCGAUACUACAAAGCCCCUGCUUGUUCCCUAGUGCAACUCCCAUGUGGUCCUGUGGAGCAUAUGGUAUCUUCCUCUUCUGGGCAGUGAGCAUAUGUGACUAAUAAACUAUCUAUCUCAUCUGUUCAGUGCCAGGUGUCAUUUGUUCUGCCAUCCCAUGACCUAGGGUGGGGAUUCCUUCCACACCAACAGGGUGAAUGCAAGGUGAUUAAAACAAGAAGCCUCUUCAGGAUCUAUAUCCUAGGGAAAAAAUUAAACAACAACAACAAAACAAGAAGCUUCAACUCUGACCCUGUAUUCCAGAUGUGUUACAGGGGCCUGUCUCCCCAGAGCCACUCUCCAGGUCAGAGCUUACCUCCCCUUGCUCAGGGUUAGGAGCUCUGGGCAGGAAAAGGACAUCAUGUUAAAA
Molecule: long non-coding RNA, 1170 nt
Filed under: Homo sapiens (human)
Lineage: Eukaryota; Metazoa; Chordata; Mammalia; Primates; Hominidae
Description: HSALNT0016853
Source: RNAcentral